Molecule: long non-coding RNA, 1405 nt
Organism: Oncorhynchus tshawytscha (Chinook salmon)
Lineage: Eukaryota; Metazoa; Chordata; Actinopteri; Salmoniformes; Salmonidae
Exons: 3
Source: RefSeq, a predicted model, not a curated record
AAGUCUAGGUCCAAGAGGCUUUCAGCUUCUACACCCAAGCCAUAAGACUCAUGAACAGCUCAUCAAAUGGCUACCGAGACUAUUUUGAAUUGCCCCCUGCUACUGCUGCUCUACUGCUGCUCUUUAAUUAUUUGUUAUUCUUAUCACUUACUUUUUUGGGAGGUAAUUUUCUUAAAACUGAAUAGUUGGUUAAGGGCUUGUAAGUCAGAAUUUCACUGUACGGUAUACUGCACCUGUUAUAUUUGGUGCAUAUGACAAAUUAGAUUUGAUUUGUAGCUCUUAAAGACUUCUCUCACUGGCCCAUAUUUAGAAAGCCAUCACUGCAGCCCCGCCCCCCUUUCCAGAGGAAAUGGGUGGGGCCUUAGCCAUGACCUCGCUCCAGGAAACUAAGCAACGGUUUAUACCAUCUAUACAAGGCAGGGAGCAGGAAGAGGCUGUGCUUUCAUAAACCCAUUGGAGAAAUUGCAUUACUGCCCAGUAAUCAGACUUUUUUUUGUUAUACAGGGGGAUAUUGACUUGCACUCCUGCAUUUUACCUGUUGUCCAACAAUUCUGAAAUAAAAUGUAAUUAUCAUGUUAUUUUAUAGGUUUAGUUUUGUAGGUUUUAGCAGACUGUCUUAUCCCAAGCCACUUACAUUACUUAUGAUGGCUUAUAAUAAAUGCACAGAGGGGUGAAACAUCAGCAUAAAACAUCAACAAGCAUAAUAAAUCAACUCUUCCUUAGAUGUAGGAAGAAAUGUUUUUGUGACCGAGAUGGCCAUCAUAUUUUGUAUAACACCACUGACCUGUGUGUUUAUCUUGUAUGUGCCCAGGAUGGGAAACUGUACCAGCCUCCGGUGGUGGUGAUUAUAGACUGUAAGCUGGGGGCAGACCUGCUAUGUGAGCAGGGAAGUAGGUCAUGGGCCUCAACACGGUGGCCAUCCACUCCGACAAGACCCAGUGGGAACGCAACCGCAUCCUCAAGGGUCUACUUGAAGGGCACUUUGAAGUGAUGGUCCACUGGUGUACUGGGCAGAGGGCUCAAACUGGUCAAUGUCAAACUGGUGGUCUUUGACAUCUCACCCAACAUGGACAAAUAUGUUCAUCACCUGAGCAGAGCAGGCAGACUGGGCCACUGGGGCACUGCCUUCAUGUUGGUCAACAACAUCAACAAGUGUCUGUCCCUGAAGGUGGUAAACUGGGUGAAGCCCACAGGCUCCCAGCUGCCCCCCCAGCUCCUCAACUCCCCUCACCUCCACGAGCAGCAGAGGAAGGAAAAGCACAAAGCCACGUAAAGUAGAGAGGAUGAUAAACACAACAGGAGAAUAAAAAGAUAGAAACAGUUUGACAGAUGCACUUGUUAUAGUUACUUUGUGUUUAUAUCUGGGUAAUUUGUCAUUUUUUAAUAAAUUAAUAUGAAAACUUGA